CUUCCUCGAUCUGCUGCGGGCAGAUGAAGUGGAUGUGGCUGUCCAUGCCGCCAGCCGUGACGAUCUUGCCUUCGCCUGCGAUCGCCUCCGUCGAGGGACCGACGAUGAUGGUGACGCCCGGCUGCGUGUCCGGAUUGCCCGCCUUGCCGAUCCCGACGAUGCGGCCAUUCUUCAGGCCGAUAUCCGCCUUGACGAUGCCGGUAUGGUCAACGAUCAACGCAUUGGUGAUGACCGUAUCGACCGCGCCCGCGGCGCGCGUCACCUGGCUCUGUCCCAUGCCGUCACGGAUG
Molecule: small RNA, 290 nt
Filed under: Rhizobium giardinii
Lineage: Bacteria; Pseudomonadati; Pseudomonadota; Alphaproteobacteria; Hyphomicrobiales; Rhizobiaceae
Description: 5' ureB small RNA
Rfam family: 5' ureB small RNA
Source: Rfam by way of RNAcentral